GGAAUUUUCUGCAAUNGNCGAAAGCCUGACAGAGCAAUACCGCGUGAGGKRAGRAGGCUUACUGAGUUGUAAACCUCKUUGCCUUAAGRAARAAGAUCUGACGGUACUUAAGGUGGAAAGCAUCGGCUAACCCCGAUGCCAGCMGCCGCGRAUAUAGACGGGRGAUGCMAGUGUUAUCCGGAAUCACUGGGCGUAAAGCGUCUGCAGGUGGUUUCCUAAGUCCACUGUUAAACCUUGAGGCUCAWCCUCAAAUCUGCAGUGSUAAACUAUGGGAACUUGAGGAUAGUAGGGGUAGAGGGAAUUUCCAGUGGAGCGGUGAAAUGCSUAGAUAUUGGAAAGAACACCGUAUGGCGAAGGCACUCUACUGGGCUAUGACUGACACUCAGAGACGAAAGCUAGGGGAGCAAAUGGGAUUAGAUACCCCAGUASUCCUACGCCGUAAACGAUGGAUACUCGAUGUUGGACGUAUCGACCCGUUCAGUAUCUUAGCUAACCGCGUUAAGUAUCCCGCCUGGGGAGUACGCUCGCNAGAGUGAAACUCA
This 542-nucleotide ribosomal RNA is filed under the name uncultured cyanobacterium. RNAcentral describes it as "partial 16S ribosomal RNA". It matches the Rfam family "Bacterial small subunit ribosomal RNA", at positions 358 to 903 of the family's 1533-position model. Lineage: Bacteria; Bacillati; Cyanobacteriota. The record is from RNAcentral.